AACGAACGCUGGCGGCAUGCCUAACACAUGCAAGUCGAACGAACCCUUCGGGGUUAGUGGCGCACGGGUGCGUAACGCGUGGGAAUCUGCCCUUUGCUUCGGAAUAACUCAGGGAAACUUGUGCUAAUACCGGAUGAUGUCUUCGGACCAAAGAUUUAUCGGCAAGGGAUGAGCCCGCGUAGGAUUAGGUAGUUGGUGGGGUAAAGGCCUACCAAGCCGACGAUCCUUAGCUGGUCUGAGAGGAUGAUCAGCCACACUGGGACUGAGACACGGCCCAGACUCCUACGGGAGGCAGCAGUGGGGAAUAUUGGACAAUGGGCGCAAGCCUGAUCCAGCAAUGCCGCGUGAGUGAUGAAGGCCCUCGGGUCGUAAAGCUCUUUUACCAGGGAUGAUAAUGAAAUUACCUGGAGAAUAAGCUCCGGCUAACUCCGUG
Molecule: ribosomal RNA, 433 nt
Filed under: uncultured bacterium
Lineage: Bacteria
Description: partial 16S ribosomal RNA
Rfam family: Bacterial small subunit ribosomal RNA
Source: RNAcentral